Molecule: long non-coding RNA, 1119 nt
Filed under: Struthio camelus australis
Lineage: Eukaryota; Metazoa; Chordata; Aves; Struthioniformes; Struthionidae
Description: lncRNA (ENSSCUG00000012032.1)
Source: RNAcentral
UCGCCCCGCCGGGUCUGCUCCCGGGCGCCGGCGCUGCUGCCUCGCUCCCCUCCGUCAUUUUGGGUAGACUUGGGGUUUGCAGAUCUUUGCUUGUGGUCGCUGUAAACCACGUUGUCUGCCCGAGUAGCAUCGGUAAAAAUAAACCACCCUAUGCAGAAAACCGCUGUGUCGGUUUUUGUUCUCGGAUUUAAGAGAAGACGGCGGGGAGCUCCGAGCCCGACCUAGGUCUGGCCGAGUAGGAACGAAGGCUGAAGGCGACUCUCGGAGUGGAGGAAGCGGCUCUGGGCUCGGCGCCGCCCGGGCUCUGAAGCUGGCAAGUGGAUUUACUCUGGGGAGAAGCGACCGUGUUUUGCGACCUUGCAAGACCUAUCUGUGCAGUAAUAUGAAGAGAGCAAGCACUGAAGUGGACCAAACAAAACUUCUAGUAAAUCAGAAAUGUGGUCACAGCCAGCCAGCGUACAAAGGCUGAGAGAGCUGCAGUGUUCAGGACAGAAACAAAUGCAGCAAAAUAAGCGGGGAAGCUUAUUCCCCUUAGAGCUACGCUUAUGGCAUUAUUAAGACCGCAGAGCGAUGUGCCCAAAGGUCUAGAACCCCGCUCGGAAGACAGCGUGCACAGCGCAGGCCAGCCCUCUGUACACGCGCCUCCCUUCAGCUCUGGCUUCCUGCUUCUCUCGCUGGGCCUCCUCUCUCUGUUAGCAAACAUGGUGGGCUUGCUUUGAAGCUGACUGCAUAAGACAGAAGAGGACCAUCCUAUUUCCUUUCAGCGCUUCUUUCACGUUACCAAAUUGUGAAGCCAGUGCUGCAAGCUGACAGCAUAACUGGUUAUGCAGAAGAAGCAGAAGCAGCGUUCAGGAGGUGGCACUGGACUGAUCAAGGGCAGCAUGGCAGAAAUGAAACUUUCAGCCCCUGCUCUUGCCAGGCAUUUCCACAGAAAUGUGCUUUUCAGGUUCAUGGCUGUACUAAUAUACACCAUUACACGCAUUUUGGAAAUCCAGCUCUUACACUGCUGAUCACACAUUUAUUUUCAAUCCCAAGGCCCCGGGGCACUCAAAAUGACAGGUGCUGCUGCACAAGAUGGAUGAUGAGAGCUUUCCUUCACAAGGGAAGGCUGGAGGUAGG